AGAGUUUGAUCCUGGCUCAGGAUGAACGCUGGCGGCAUGCCUAAUACAUGCAAGUCGAACGAGAGGAAGGAAAGCUUGCUUUCCUGAAUCUAGUGGCGAACGGGUGUGUAACACGUAGGUAACCUGCCCAUGUGCCCGGGAUAACUUCUGGAAACGGAUGCUAAAACCGGAUAGGUAGCAGACAAGCAUUUGACUGCUAUUAAAGUGGCCUUGGCCAUGAACAUGGAUGGACCUGCGGUGCAUUAGCUGGUUGGUGAGGUAACGGCCCACCAAGGCGACGAUGCAUAGCCGGCCUGAGAGGGCGGACGGCCACAUUGGGACUGAGACACGGCCCAAACUCCUACGGGAGGCAGCAGUAGGGAAUUUUCGUCAAUGGGGGGAACCCUGAACGAGCAAUGCCGCGUGAGUGAGGAAGGUCUUCGGAUCGUAAAGCUCUGUUGUAAGAGAAAAACGGCACUCAUAGGGAAUGAUGAGUGAGUGAUGGUAUCUUACCAGAAAGUCACGGCUAACUACGUGCCAGCAGCCGCGGUAAUACGUAGGUGGCGAGCGUUAUCCGGAAUGAUUGGGCGUAAAGGGUGCGUAGGUGGCAGAUCAAGUCUGGAGUAAAAGGUAUGGGCUCAACCCGUACUGGCUCUGGAAACUGAUCCGCUAGAGAACAGAAGAGGACGGCGGAACUCCAUGUGUAGCGGUAAAAUGCGUAGAUAUAUGGAAGAACACCGGUGGCGAAGGCGGCCGUCUGGUCUGGAUUCUGACACUGAAGCACGAAAGCGUGGGGAGCAAAUAGGAUUAGAUACCCUAGUAGUCCACGCCGUAAACGAUGAGAACUAGGUGUUGGGGGAA
This 840-nucleotide ribosomal RNA is filed under the name uncultured bacterium. RNAcentral describes it as "bacterial SSU rRNA". It matches the Rfam family "Bacterial small subunit ribosomal RNA", at positions 8 to 831 of the family's 1533-position model. The record is from RNAcentral.